CGGCAACAGCUCAAAUUUGAAAUCUGGCCUCUUUCGGGGUCCGAGUUGUAAUUUGUAGAGGAUACUUUUGAUGCGGUGCCUUCCGAGUUCCCUGGAACGGGACGCCAUAGAGGGUGAGAGCCCCGUCUGGUUGGAUGCCAAAUCUCUGUAAAGUUCCUUCGAC
This 163-nucleotide ribosomal RNA is filed under the name Fusarium sp. RNAcentral's name for it is "partial large subunit ribosomal RNA". It matches the Rfam family "Eukaryotic large subunit ribosomal RNA", at positions 99 to 261 of the family's 3401-position model. Lineage: Eukaryota; Fungi; Ascomycota; Sordariomycetes; Hypocreales; Nectriaceae. The record is from RNAcentral.